This 73-nucleotide transfer RNA is filed under the name Danio rerio (zebrafish). It matches the Rfam family "tRNA". From Rfam's summary of the family: Transfer RNA (tRNA) molecules are approximately 80 nucleotides in length. The record is from Rfam by way of RNAcentral. Lineage: Eukaryota; Metazoa; Chordata; Actinopteri; Cypriniformes; Danionidae.
GUUUCUGUAGUGUAGUGGUCAUCACGUUCGCCUAACACGCGAUAGGUCCUCGGUUUGAAACCGAGCAGAAACC